CUUUCCUCGCCAACAUCAUCGAGCUCAAGACGUCUCGACUUUGUUUUAUAUUUUAAGAUUCAUGCCCGUACCUAAGCACUCCUCCGUUGUAUAGGCGUGCUUCUCAUGGGCGAAGACACAGCCUCCGUUGAGGGACGGUUUUGAACUUCUCUCAACUGUAAUAUUGUUUGAGUUUUUCGGCAUUCCAAGGUCGAGGAAUUUCUUUUCCGUAAAGAUCUUCCAAAUAAUAGGCACCGUUUUCGGUUUUGGCUCGAACACGAUAAGGUCCCUCCCAAUUUGCCGCGAGUUUACCCUCGCGAGAAUCUUUUUGGUUACGUCGGAGUACUAGUGUCCCAACGUCAAAUUCUCGCUUGAUGACCUUUUUGUCAUGCCGUUUUGCUAUUUUUUGUUUCAAAGUGGCUUCUCG
Molecule: long non-coding RNA, 406 nt
Filed under: Trifolium pratense (red clover)
Lineage: Eukaryota; Viridiplantae; Streptophyta; Magnoliopsida; Fabales; Fabaceae
Description: long non-coding RNA (TPRA_LNC013872)
Source: RNAcentral